AUGGAGAGAGAGAGAGACCAUGGAGAACUCCCUCGUGGGUACGGCAGCAUCAUCUCCCACUCCUCGACGGCGUCCUGUCCUGGUGACAAGGGGCGUCCAACUCUGGCCCUCCCAGCGCGGCGGCGGCGGCGGCAGGGGAGGCGAAAAUUCAGCCUGGCUAGCCACAGAUCAAUCAUGGCCUUGGCAUCCAUCAAUCGCUUCUGCUCUACUCCAGAGGACAGCGCCGAGUCUCGUCUCGUCUCAACAAGACUCCAAUUGCUGCCUUCUCCAAUGGGUCUCGUCGGCCGCCUUGCUUCCUCCAACAAGAAGACCAUCCACAUACUCCAAAACGUCAAUGGCAUCAUCAAACCAUCAAGGAUGACCCUUCUUCUCGGACCUCCAUCCUCGGGAAAGAGCACACUUAUGCGUGCCCUCACUGGCAAGCUUGACAAAAGCCUCAAGGUAUCUGGCAACAUCACUUACUGUGGUCAUACAUUUGAGGAGUUCUACCCUGAGAGGACCAGUGUGUAUGUUAGUCAGUACGAUCUCCACAAUGCAGAGAUGACCGUAAGAGAGACGCUUGAUUUCUCCAGGCGAUGCUUAGGCGUCGGUGCCAGAUAUGACAUGCUCUCUGAGCUCGCUGCCAGGGAGCGUGAAGCUGGCAUAAAGCCAGAUCCCGAGAUCGAUGCUUAUAUGAAAGCUACUGCCGUGCAAGGACAGGAGAGUAAUAUUGUUACCGAUCUUACUCUCAAGGUGACUAUCCUAUUCUGUCAAUUACAUGCAAUUCUGUAG
Molecule: ribosomal RNA, 771 nt
Filed under: Triticum aestivum (bread wheat)
Lineage: Eukaryota; Viridiplantae; Streptophyta; Magnoliopsida; Poales; Poaceae
Description: partial small subunit ribosomal RNA
Source: RNAcentral